GGACUUGCCAAGUGAUCUUAGUGUCUUUGCAACUGAGCACACUCUACCAGCAACACUGACAGCUCACCAGUGGGAGCUGAUAGAUAAGACUGCUCUCAUCCAUUGAAGAGCUGACCAGAAACGUGAACAGAAAGACUGCAACUGCACCUGAUGGGAUCCCUGCCAUAACAGAUGUGUUCUGUCCAGUGAAGGCAGUGGAGAAGCCCUACACUGAUCUUGAAACUGUGCCACGCUACUAGAAACCGGCUACAAGGAUGGGCAGCUGUUUUCGCAAAGUCAGCCAACCACUUGCUUCCAAAUGACCCUUAUCCAGAAGUAUCCGUGAGUGCCUCAUCAACAGAAACUAAAGUGGAGACCUACCUCUCAAA
This is a long non-coding RNA of Oreochromis aureus, 368 nucleotides long. RefSeq lists it as uncharacterized. The record is from RefSeq and is a predicted model, not a curated record. The transcript is spliced from 3 exons. NCBI's taxonomy places the organism in Eukaryota, Metazoa, Chordata, Actinopteri, Cichliformes, Cichlidae.